RNAcentral lists this ribosomal RNA (442 nucleotides) under uncultured Bacillota bacterium. RNAcentral describes it as "bacterial SSU rRNA". It matches the Rfam family "Bacterial small subunit ribosomal RNA", at positions 917 to 1359 of the family's 1533-position model. Lineage: Bacteria; Bacillati; Bacillota. The record is from RNAcentral.
GGGCCCGCACAAGCAGCGGAGCAUGUGGUUUAAUUCGACGCAACGCGAAGAACCUUACCAGGUCUUGACAUCGGCGGAAGGGAUAGAAAUAUUUUGUGCCCGCAAGGGAGCCGUCAGACAGGUGGUGCAUGGUUGUCGUCAGCUCGUGUCGUGAGAUGUUGGGUUAAGUCCCGCAACGAGCGCAACCCUUGUAGUCAGUUACUAACGGGUAAAGCCGAGGACUCUGACGAGACUGCCGGGGACAACUCGGAGGAAGGUGGGGACGACGUCAAAUCAUCAUGCCCCUUAUGACCUGGGCUACACACGUGCUACAAUGGCUGCAACAAAGAGAAGCAAGGGCGCGAGCCGGAGCGGAUCUCAAAAAGCGGUCUCAGUUCAGAUCGUGGGCUGCAACCCGCCCACGUGAAGUCGGAGUUGCUAGUAAUCGCGGAUCAGCAUGCCG